AUCAGCCCCUCGUGUGGCGCUAUCUUGGCUAACUCCCCCAGGUCAGAAAUGAAGCAAGGGUAACUGGGCUCUGGCGGGUACACGAGGGGUCUUGUCUG
Molecule: signal recognition particle RNA, 98 nt
Filed under: Microbacteriaceae bacterium MWH-Ta3
Lineage: Bacteria; Bacillati; Actinomycetota; Actinomycetes; Micrococcales; Microbacteriaceae
Description: Bacterial small signal recognition particle RNA
Rfam family: Bacterial small signal recognition particle RNA
About the family: The signal recognition particle (SRP) is a universally conserved ribonucleoprotein involved in the co-translational targeting of proteins to membranes. Archaeal SRP consists of a 7S RNA and homologues of the eukaryotic SRP19 and SRP54 proteins.
Source: RNAcentral